RNAcentral lists this long non-coding RNA (289 nucleotides) under Theobroma cacao (cacao). RNAcentral describes it as "long non-coding RNA (TCAC_LNC003435)". The record is from RNAcentral. Lineage: Eukaryota; Viridiplantae; Streptophyta; Magnoliopsida; Malvales; Malvaceae.
CUAAUGGCACGUUUGGUACGGGGAAUAGCUAUGCUAUUCCCCCUCUAUUCCCGAUCAUUUCCUAUUCCUUCGUUUGGUACCAAAUUGAAAUACGGAAUAGCAAUUCCGCAGGAAUAAAAAUUCUGUCAAACAGGUUAAAAGUCAGUAAUAGCUAUUCCCUUCUCCCUCCCCAGUAAUAGCUAUUCCAUGGCUCAUGGAAUAGCUUUCAAAUAUAUAAUGACCAAAAUAGCCCUUAUAACCUAAAAAUAUUACAACCCUAUACCUAUAAAUACUUUUUUUCUCUCAUUUU